This 312-nucleotide ribosomal RNA is filed under the name Triticum aestivum (bread wheat). Its description in RNAcentral is "partial small subunit ribosomal RNA". The record is from RNAcentral. Lineage: Eukaryota; Viridiplantae; Streptophyta; Magnoliopsida; Poales; Poaceae.
AUGUACGUGGCACACGCCGCAUACACGGACCCGUACACGGACCCGAGAACGGGUAUGAGAGGUCCGGGAAAAAAUGGCCCAUACACCAUGCGAACCGGCUCAAAACCAGCUAAUGAUGGUCAACAAACGGUGCCAUGGCAGCGAAAACAUGUCUCAUGGCAAAAAAGCGCUGCCACGGCAGCGUUUCAAAACAGUGUACCCCUCCUUCACAAACUAAGGGCAGGGGUCCCAAUGGGGGCUAAAACCCUCGGGUAUAAUAGGGAGGAGGGGUCCUUCCUGGUGGGCGUACGGAACACGGGUGAUUUUUCUUAG